Molecule: long non-coding RNA, 398 nt
Organism: Macrobrachium nipponense
Lineage: Eukaryota; Metazoa; Arthropoda; Malacostraca; Decapoda; Palaemonidae
Exons: 4
Source: RefSeq, a predicted model, not a curated record
UGACUGGUGAUAAGUGCAGACCUCGACAUUGGUCUCGAGCACGAUUUCUAUUUUCGAGAGGAGUCAAGAUUCCCCAUUUCCUAUUGAAGGGCAAACUGGCCUUCGUCUCUGACCUGACGCAACAGUGUGAGGCAAAUGUCCUAAAAGGUACCAUGAAAUUCUUCAGUUUUCUUUUGCUUCUUCUGUUGCAGCUGCAGAAAUCGUUUAGCCUUCCGGAAGGAGCUGCUUGCCUUCAAAAUUUGGGCAAUACCCCUCCUGCCCAGUGGCAUGUGAAUGGGCAAUGCUGCAGCUGUGAUAGAGGAAAAGUGCAGUGUUAUGUCGAUAUAGCUUCUGCUUGUGCUGAUCGGCCUGAUGACGUCAGCGGAUGCGAUUUUAUUAACAUUUGUGGAUGUGAGAGG